RNAcentral lists this ribosomal RNA (426 nucleotides) under uncultured Acinetobacter sp. Its description in RNAcentral is "bacterial SSU rRNA". It matches the Rfam family "Bacterial small subunit ribosomal RNA", at positions 356 to 774 of the family's 1533-position model. Lineage: Bacteria; Pseudomonadati; Pseudomonadota; Gammaproteobacteria; Moraxellales; Moraxellaceae. The record is from RNAcentral.
GGGGAAUAUUGGACAAUGGGGGGAACCCUGAUCCAGCCAUGCCGCGUGUGUGAAGAAGGCCUUAUGGUUUAAAACACCUUAAACCAAGGAGGGGGCCCUUUGGUUUAUUCCCCAAGUUGAGGGAACUUACUCGCCAAAUAAGGAACGGGCAAACUCGUGCCAGCAGCCGCGGUAAUACAGAGGGUGCGAGCGUUAAUCGGAUUUACUGGGCGUAAAGCGUGCGUAGGCGGCUUUUUAAGUCGGAUGUGAAAUCCCCGAGCUUAACUUGGGAAUUGCAUUCGUUACUGGGAAGCUAGAGUAUGGGAGAGGAUGGUAGAAUUCCAGGUGUAGCGGUGAAAUGCGUAGAGAUCUGGAGGAAUACCGAUGGCGAAGGCAGCCAUCUGGCCUAAUACUGACGCUGAGGUACGAAAGCAUGGGGAGCAAACA